GGCUCAGUAACACGUAGUUAACCUACCUUCGGGACGGGGACAACCUCGGGAAACUGAGGAUAAUCCCCGAUAGGUGAGGGACGCUGGAAUGCCUCCUCACCCAAACGCUCCGGCGCCCGAGGAUGGGACUGCGGCCUAUCAGGCUGUUGGUGGUGUGACGGACCACCAAACCUACAACGGGUACGGGCGAUGGGAGUCGGAGCCCGGAGAUGGGGACUGAGACAAGGCCCCAGGCCCUACGGGGCGCAGCAGGCGCGAAAACUCCGCAAUGCGCGCAAGCGUGACGGGGGGACCCCAAGUGCCGUUGGUCUUUGAUCGACGGCUUUUUGGGAGUGUAAAAAGCUCCUAGAAUAAGGGCUGGGUAAGUCUGGUGCCAGCCGCCGCGGUAAUACCAGCAGCCCAAGUGGUGGUCGCGAUUAUUGGGCCUAAAGCGCUCGUAGCCGGGCUGGCAAGUCCCUUGUGAAAUCGGACGGCCCAACCGUUCGGCCUGCAAGGGAUACUGCUGGCCUUGAGGCCGAUAGACGUCGAGGGUACUCUGGGGGUAGCGGUGAAAUGCUGUAAUCCUCGGGGGACCACCAGUGGCGAAGGCGCUCGACGAGAGCGGACCUGACGGUGAGGGGCGAAGGCUAGGGGAGCGAACGGGAUUAGAUACCCCGGUAGUCCUAGCUGUAAAGCAUGCGGGCCAUGUGUCUGGUGUUCCUCGAGAGCACUAGGUGCCGUAGGGAAGCCGUUAAGCCCGCCGCCUGGGAAGUACGGCCGCAAGGCUGAAACUUAAAGAAAUUGGCGGGGGAGCACCACAAGGGGUGGGACCUGCGGUUCAAUUGGAUUCAACGCCGGAAAACUCACCGGGGGCGACAGUUGGUUGAAGGCCAGGUUGAUGACCUUGCCGGACUAGCUGAGAGGUGGUGCAUGGCC
RNAcentral lists this ribosomal RNA (915 nucleotides) under uncultured archaeon. RNAcentral's name for it is "bacterial SSU rRNA". It matches the Rfam family "Archaeal small subunit ribosomal RNA", at positions 87 to 999 of the family's 1478-position model. The record is from RNAcentral.